This 271-nucleotide ribosomal RNA is filed under the name uncultured bacterium. RNAcentral describes it as "partial 16S ribosomal RNA". It matches the Rfam family "Bacterial small subunit ribosomal RNA", at positions 524 to 794 of the family's 1533-position model. The record is from RNAcentral.
CACGUAGGGGCCAAGCGUUGUCCGGAGUUACUGGGCGUAAAGGGCGCGUAGGUGGCCCUGUUAGUCAGACGUGAAAUCCCAGGCUUAACUUGGGAACUGCGUCUGAUACUGCAGGGGCUCGAGUUCGGGAGAGGGAUGUGGAAUUCCAGGUGUAGCGGUGAAAUGCGUAGAUAUCUGGAGGAACACCGGUGGCGAAGGCGGCAUCCUGGACCGAAACUGACACUGAGGCGCGAAAGCUAGGGGAGCAAACGGGAUUAGAUACCCUUGUAGU